Molecule: long non-coding RNA, 335 nt
Organism: Pipistrellus kuhlii (Kuhl's pipistrelle)
Lineage: Eukaryota; Metazoa; Chordata; Mammalia; Chiroptera; Vespertilionidae
Exons: 3
Source: RefSeq, a predicted model, not a curated record
UUUUGUUUCAUGCUAAUGCACCAUCACACACUCCAAAUCAGUUAAAGACGCAUUAAAAGAUCUUGCCUGGGAAGUAUUAACCCACCCGCUAUAUUCACCAGACGUUGCUCCUUCAGAUUAUCACUUGUCCCUAUCAAAGGCACACGCACUUUCUGAGCAGCACCUCAAAACAUAUGAAGAAGUGGAAAAUUGGGUCUCGGAAUGGUUUGCCUCAAAACAAGAAGAGUUCUAUUGGGGGAAAAUGUUCUAUCCAAAAAUUACCUGAAAGGUGGGGAAAUGUAUAGCUAGUGAUGGACAUUACUUUGAAUAAAGCACUUCUGAUGUUUCUAUUGAAA